Molecule: long non-coding RNA, 5110 nt
Filed under: Taeniopygia guttata (zebra finch)
Lineage: Eukaryota; Metazoa; Chordata; Aves; Passeriformes; Estrildidae
Description: lncRNA (ENSTGUG00000022312.1)
Source: RNAcentral
UUUUUUUUUCUUUAAGAACCAAACCACAGCCCAUGUACAUUUCCUCAGGGGAGUUUCAUAAAACUGUUUGUCAAGAAAUGAUGACUGUUUUUAAUUUGGACUUUCUGAAGCUGACCAGAAGAAACCACUCCUUCCCUGAGAGACAAAUCAGGAGUGAUGGUCUAAUCUAGUUAUAGUCAGUGGAUAAAUGGACAAAGGCUUUACUGGGGGCAACAUAGUUAUUGGUGCCCAUAUUUCAGGCACAAAGGGCAGUGAGAGCUAUUACCUCUCUGAUCCAUUCUGGAGACUCUUCCCUGUGCCGUAGGCCCUAGAACAGAUUCUGAUUACAAAACCUGUGCCAAAAAACUUUUUACGAACUUUUUGUUGCCUGGAAUAUGAUUUCAAGGUUGGAUGUGUGUAGAUGUCAGUGGGAACUGUCUGUGCUUGGCUUUGGAUAUGAAUGUGAACUAAAAAGAGAAUUUCCAUGAAGGAUCUAGGGAUACAGCAAAGGAGAAACAAUGGCUGUAUGCUUGUGAAUAAGUGGGUCUCAAGCUGGAUUUCUAUGAUAUAUGGUUAAUGUAGGGUAAGGGAGUGUAGAGGCAUGCAUUUAUUUAUACUCAAGAUAGUCCAACAUGAAGGUAUCUUGGGAUUAUAGAUUAAGUGUAGAAAAAGGCAUGUUCUGGAGAGGAUAAGUAUGAAGCACUGCAUCUGAGUGCGGAAGAGUGUCUUUAGUUUAGCAUACUUAUGUAAAUACUUAGGGAUAGACAGGCUGGUGGGAGGGGGAAUGUUCUCACAACUUAUAUUCUCUGCUAGUCAUAUUUGGUUUGUGUGUAUAUAUAUAUAUAUAUAUAUAUAUAUAUAACACACAUAUAUCCUCACUUAGAGUGCUUUACCAAAUACUAGAAUUCCAGCUAGAAUUAAUUGUUAGCAGCCUGCCCUCUGUUAGAGCUAAUGGGUUGCAGGUAUUGAUUUUUUUUCUAUUUCUAUUGAUUAGGAGGCUGCUGUACAUACUAGCCUUAGCAUAGCAUGGAAAGAGAAAGGGAGGCAAAACAGUUCACAUCGCAGCAACUCAUCAUGGUGGAAAAUUCAUCCUGGGUAUCUCAGUCUUCUCCAACUAUCUCUUCUGAGUGGAGAAGGAAGGCAUUCCUGUUUGCAGAAAUCAACUCUCAGGGCUCAUGAGAGACACUUUUUGUUUCCCAACCAUCUUCAAAUAUACCACUCAAUGGAAGAAAAGUUGUGUAAGAAAAAGGGAAAAAGGAGUCUCACAUGGAAAGCACAGGAGUUGUAUCUUCAAGACUCAAUCUGAAACACUUAUCUUGGGUACCCAUAGGCACCCAGAUCAUUCAUAACAGCACCCAGAUCCCACUAAAAUCAGCACAAACGCUUUCACUUUGGUGGGCUUUAUGAACAAGUUCUGGAUUUUUCAGUGUCUCUGCAAACUAAUGAACAUGUUACUUUUUAGGAGUGUUGCGAGGCUAAAUGAACCAUUUGUACAAGAUUUAGCUUGGAAGAGGACAUAAGUGGGAAAUUGAGGGACUUCUGUAUGGCAGCAUUAGAAUCUCAUACUUGGUGCCUGCCAGAGUCCACUCCUGUCUAUCACAAGAGUUGUUUUACUCUACUCCCAGGGUAGAACCCACACCCAUUUUGCAUGGAAAUCUGCUCAUUUUAAUUGAUAGACCUCCAUAUCCUGUAUCUCCCUUCUUCUUUAAUUUCUGGUCAAAGGGUUACUCUAGAGAUGACUUUGCUGUAGUAUUGAUUGUCUGAUGUUUAAACUGUGUUGUUGAUCUUCAACAGAAGAUGCCCAGUGAGGCUUUUUCCAUCUGCAUUUAUCUUCCUAUGUCUAUCAUCUCCAUCUCUAGCUCCUUCACCUGCAAUUCUCUGGCAAAACCCACAAAUCUUCUUUCCUUGGCUUUCGAGUUUGUUGAACUGGUCUAAGAAAACCACCAGCAUGCAGAUAUGAUGUGAAUAAUAUUUCUUAAGUGUUUUUGGAGCCUCUGCUUUGGAUGUCAGUGAUGACUGCUCUGAUCACCCCAUCUGCUUUUCUAACAGUACAGAUACAUGACUUUUUUCUUCUCCAAUAGAAUAUCUUACAUUUUAAUUCUCUUUAUACACCAUAUCUCUUUUCUCUCUUCUCAGCCCCAUUGGCUUCCAGUUCUGUGAUCAUAACCCUAACCCCACUUGUUUUUCCUAACAUCUCCUCUGCUGGUGCAUUUCCCUAUUAACACCUCUGCUCUGCCUGCAAAUGCAGUUGCACCAACUCUAUCUCUUUUGCAGCUCAUUACAGCAGCUCCUUCUCAGCUGGCCUCCCCAGGAUGAAGAUUCCUAGAUUCAUUUUUUAUACACUAUUGCUGUUUGAUUUUAUCCGAUGUUCCAAAGAGCUCCACUGCAGCACUCAAUCCACAAACACUAUUCAGUCUCAUUACCAUCCCGUGGAGUUGCUUCCGACUUUGUGCCCUUCAUCUCGCUUCCUGCAUCUUUCUCAUGCCCCUUUUUUUCCUACAGCACUGCCCCUUCUCUCCACAAAUAGCAGCACUCUUGGUUUGCCAUUGGAAGCAGACUUCCUGUGGCUCCCUGUCUCAUCAGCUUCUCAUUUCAAGUAAUUUAAAAUGUAAUUUAAAAUCUCUCUAUUUCCUCCAGACUAUUAAUUUCUCUCUCCUUACUCUUCUACAGAUGUCAUUCUGUGUUACACUUUUCAGAAGAUGCAACUGUUGUAAAAAUCGGCCACAGUGGUUUUACUCUGUAUUCUUGUUUUGUAUUAUAAUUUUUAAUUAUUCUUUGUAGGAAAAACCAAAUCUCAGCACAGCAUCUAACCACGGCACAAGCAGUCACACAGGACAGUCUGGCAUUUGCAUUGCCUUUGUUCCAUUCUUCUCCUGUGGCAUUUAGAACUCUGGAGGGAUUAUUGUGAAUGGUCUAAGAGUAUAUAUAAGUAGGGUAGCAGGAAGAGAAUUAUUUCUGGAAAUUGAGAAGUGUGAAGCAGGAAGCCAUGUUUAGUUCUGAUCCUGAGAUGCGCUGAGCUCUCAUAGGUCUGACUGCUCUUAACCAGAGAUUAUAGAAAUUGCUACCCUGCAAAUGUGUCCUUCUUACACUGGCAAUUUCUUUGGGGAGAACAUGCCCUUCUCUUGAUGUAAUUCACUAUUUGAGAGUACAGAGUAACUGAGGAGCCAACCUUCCUUGGAAGUAUGAGGUCCAGAUUUCCAGAGCAGUUUCUUGUCCACACAUGAGAUGUUUGUGCCUGAUGGAUUUAACUGCAAGAAUAGCCAAAUUAAGAUUUUUCUUCUUCAGAAUAUUUCAUACUCCUGGCCCGGACUUUCUAUCUUUCUUUGAAGAAUGAGAGGAUUUGAAUAUUGGGGUGGGGUUGGAAAAGAACAACCACUAGCCAAAAACAAAAUGCUCAGAGCCCCAAGAAUUAUUUAUUCUUCCCUUAUGCCUUCCUCUUCAAGGCCACUUCCUUCUUUCAGGAGAUAUAUAAGGGGAGGAGAGGUCCUUGUGUGGUCUUCCCUAGCUUUCCAAGCUAAGAGCCUCAUGGAGACUCCUCAACACAGGCCGUCCCUGUAGAGCCAUAAUCUCCCACCAGCUUAGGGGUCUCCUCCACAUCCCUCUGCCUCUCAAAUUCCUUUGCAACAAGGACAACAGUUCAGAGAGCCUGUCCACUAACUACCAUCUCCACAUUCUUGCAGCAGACAAGUACUAAAAGUCCAAACUACAAUAUGCACCUGCCCCCUUGUUCAUCCCCAGCUGUUCAGCAGCUCCAGGGUACAGAAAGAGCCCCCCCCCCCCCAGCUCCAGUGGGAGAGGGCAAGGCUAGAAUUCCCCCAGAUGAACUAGGUACAGUGUUUGUCCACAAAGAAUAUUUCAGUGAUCGCAGCCUGCACUGUCUUCUACGACCUUUCCCUUUUUCUGCCUUCCCUGGGGCCUCUUCUGCCUGUUGGUGGUGAUUUACAUAUGGCUGAUGCUGGACACUAUGAGUGCUUGCUGACCUCUACCUCGGUCUCAGCUGUGAGGGCUGCCUGGAUUGUGCCCUCCAAAUUGGGGAAAUGAUCAAGGGUCUGUAGAGCAGCCGGUGGCCCCUGAUUGCUUGCUAUAGAGCCCUUCAUGUCCGUGAGUCCUGGGACAGAUUGUCCUGGAAGGGCAGUCCCAGUCUGCACCCAGAGAGGGAGUAGGGAGAAGAGGUAACUGGAAUUAUGAAAUUGCAGCAUGGCUGAAGCUCUCCAACUGGUUCAACUUCCCAGCACCCCCUUCCCCUAGCGCUGCUCCCCCGCAUAGAGCAGCAGUGAACCUAAAGCAGAUCUUCUGGUCUAAUUUUUCACUGAACAAUGAAUCUGAUCAGAGAGAAACAAAAUCGGUAGCAUCAAGAAUUAGAUUAUUUCUUUUUUUUCUGAUUGUUGCAUUAAUGAGCAGCUACAUGUAUAGAACCAGGAGGUGACUAAUGUAAUUAACCUGGUGUAAUGAUACUGCUGAGGAAGAGAGGAUUAUGACAUACUUAGAUGUCAGUAUUGCACAAUUUUGUAUGUGUUCCCUGUACUAUUCGGUUGUGUCUGACACAGAAAACUUAAGCAGUGAUAGAUUUCAGUCUGCAUCCAUUCAGCUCAUGCAUCUUUCUGUGUAAAAUGAGGAUGUGAAAGGUGGAUUGCUUUCCCAGGGUUGAGGGGGUGGAGGUAUUCAAUUUUGGUGGUGUCUUUCCUUAACAAAAUUAUACUAAUUAUCAUAAACCGUCCUUUCUCAUGAAGAAUCUUCCCAAAAUGUCUGCUUCUUGAAGCAGGCGUUGGGAUUUCAGUGAAAUCCCCAAAGACAAAGUAAGAACAUGGGGAUCUACACAACACUGGUCAGGGGGAGGCACAGGGACGGAAAACGAGCAAUACCAAGACAUAUGCAACUUGCAGCAAACCCGAGAAGAGUGAAGAGCAAGCACUUAAAAAUCAUAACAACAGCAAUAAGAGCAGAAAUACAUGCUUAUUUUUAAAUUACCCUUCCACGUUACAUUUCACCCGCCUCCUGGGGAGACAAGCGGAUGACUGAAGUUUUGUGCGGGUCUAAACUGCGGUGUGAGGGUCGCACUCGCAGCUCCGGGUACCUACGGCGGAGAUGCGAAGGAAGCUGAGCUGGGGGGCGGCGGUGGAGGGGGAAAGGC